Long non-coding RNA from Entelurus aequoreus (snake pipefish), 419 nucleotides. RefSeq lists it as uncharacterized. The record is from RefSeq and is a predicted model, not a curated record. Lineage: Eukaryota; Metazoa; Chordata; Actinopteri; Syngnathiformes; Syngnathidae. The transcript has 3 exons.
GUCAACUGUUCAGAGCCAUGGUGGGUGACAGCGAAAGGUGAAGGAGAUGAGCGGCGCCCUCGUCCUGCUCCUCCUCAAGCGAACGCGGCGCCGUGCCCGCAGGAGAUGCGGCGUGAACGUCCGCAUCAAAUGGAGCUGAGGCUCAACACGUUCAUCCCUUCUGGCGAUCUCGCGGGCCGUCGACACGGACUGCCUGACUGAGUUAAACGUGCGCGGACGUGCGCACGGAGGAUCUAUCCAGCAACAACUGAGGCCUCAUUUCCACCAAACGGUGCAGAACGGUUCAGUUCGAAGACCAAACAACCGAGCGCCAAAGAAUGGACUCUAAUGGCCGCCUCAGCUGCAAAGUUGCAAAAUAAAACAAAUACUUUUGCACUAUUUGCACGACCCAUCAGCUAAACCAGAUACUUGGGUCCAAC